AAUGAACGUUGGCGGCGUGGAUUAGGCAUGCAAGUCGAGCGAGAACCGUAGCAAUACGGGGACAGCGGCGAAAGGGACAGUAAUGUGUAGGUACCUACCCCCGGGUUCGGGAUAGCUGCGGGAAACUGCAGGUAAUACCGAAUAAUGUCUUCGGACCAAAGGUGUGAUUCCACAUGGGGAGGCGCCUGCAUCCUAUUAGCUUGUUGGUGGGGUAACGGCUUACCAAGGCGACGAGGGGUAGCGGGUGUGAGAGCAUGACCCGCGUCAUUGGGACUGAGACACUGCCCAGACACCUACGGGUGGCUGCAGUCGAGGAUCUUCGGCAAUGGGCGCAAGCCUGACCGAGCGACGCCGCGUGCGGGAUGAAGGCCUUCGGGUUGUAAACCGCUGUCGUAGAGGAGGAAAUGCAGGAGGGUUCUCCCUUCUGUUUGACCUAUUCUAGGAGGAAGUACGGGCUAAGUUCGUGCCAGCCGCCGCAGUAA
This 482-nucleotide ribosomal RNA is filed under the name uncultured bacterium. RNAcentral's name for it is "partial 16S ribosomal RNA". It matches the Rfam family "Bacterial small subunit ribosomal RNA", at positions 29 to 523 of the family's 1533-position model. The record is from RNAcentral.